CCUCUAUAGGAAAGCAGAAAUCCAUUGGUUU
RNAcentral lists this transfer RNA (31 nucleotides) under Podarcis lilfordi (Lilford's wall lizard). RNAcentral's name for it is "partial tRNA-Leu". Lineage: Eukaryota; Metazoa; Chordata; Lepidosauria; Squamata; Lacertidae. The record is from RNAcentral.